This 600-nucleotide ribosomal RNA is filed under the name Triticum aestivum (bread wheat). Its description in RNAcentral is "partial small subunit ribosomal RNA". The record is from RNAcentral. Lineage: Eukaryota; Viridiplantae; Streptophyta; Magnoliopsida; Poales; Poaceae.
UUUCCCCCUGAACGAACCGUCGAUGUCGACUAGGUUAUAGACGCACAUAUGAGGCUGAUAAUUCAGGCAACAACACUGAUUAGUGUGAUUCAGGCAUGGGUCGUGUUCAUGCACCAGAGAGCUAUUCGUCAUGCUGGGAGACCAUUGAUCCGCUAUGGUCCAUUGUUUAUCCGGAAACAGGAGAGGAUCCAAAAUCUGAACUACAUCUACAACUGCAAUGACGUCGAGGCUCUGUGGAUGCUUCGAAUGAAAAUAUCACCAUUUUCCAGGCUUGUCGAGACCUUCAGGAGCAGGGGGCUGCUACAAGAUAACAUCAACACCAGCGUGGAAGAGCAAGUGGCCAUGUUCUUUCACGUUGUUGGCCAUAACUAGAGGUUCAGGGUCAUUGACAACACGUUCAAGAGAUCAAUGGAGACCAUCUCUAGGUACUUCAAGUAGGUGCUUUUUGUUGUUGGGGAGCUUAGAGGAGAGAUGAUGAGGAGACCAUCUGGCCGGACUCCACCCAAAAUUCGCUUAAACCUAAGAUGGUAUCCAUACUUCAAGGUGAGCAUUGACAAUAACACUUUUCAUGGCUUGAUAUGCUUGUAUUGUUCAAGUUGA